RNAcentral lists this ribosomal RNA (475 nucleotides) under uncultured Blastocystis sp. RNAcentral describes it as "SSU rRNA". It matches the Rfam family "Eukaryotic small subunit ribosomal RNA", at positions 477 to 970 of the family's 1831-position model. The record is from RNAcentral. Lineage: Eukaryota; Bigyra; Opalinata; Blastocystidae.
CAAUGCGGGACUGUUAGUCUUGCAAUUGGAUUGAGAACAACGUACAACUCUUAUCGAUAAGCCAUUGGAGGGCAAGUCUGGUGCCAGCAGCCGCGGUAAUUCCAGCUCCAAUAGCGUAUAUUAACGUUGUUGCAGUUAAAAAGCUCGUAGUUGAAGUGAGGGAGUGUGUGUUCAUGAGAGCUAGUCUCGAGUGUUCACAACCUCCCCCCUCCAAUCGGUGUAGUGGGGUAUUCAGUUAUUUCACUACUCCUUUGGUCGUUUACUGUGAGAAAAUUAGAGUGUUCAAAGCGGGCGUUUGUUUGAAUAGAUUAGCAUGGAAUAAUGAUUGAAGGCUUUCGUGUUCGAUUUGAUUGGUUUGUUCAUGGAAGCAAGGUUAAAAGGAACAGUUGGGGGUAUUCAUAUUCACUAGUUAGAGGUGAAAUUCUCGGAUUUAUGGAAGAUGAACAGGUGCGAAAGCAUUUACCAAGGAUGUUUU